AGUCAGUCAAACAGAGGAAAUUCCAUAUAAAGAGUGAUUCAAUUUCUUAUUAACAUUAGUGUCACUAAAGUUGGUAUACCACCCCCCACUGCUAAAUUUGACUGGCUUUAA
Unclassified non-coding RNA from Cavia aperea (Brazilian guinea pig), 111 nucleotides. It matches the Rfam family "Y RNA". From Rfam's summary of the family: Y RNAs are components of the Ro ribonucleoprotein particle (Ro RNP), in association with Ro60 and La proteins. The Y RNAs and Ro60 and La proteins are well conserved, but the function of the Ro RNP is not known. Lineage: Eukaryota; Metazoa; Chordata; Mammalia; Rodentia; Caviidae. The record is from Ensembl.